CCCCGGCGCCACAAGUGGUUAUCACGAUUAUUGGGCCUAAAGCGUUCGUAGCCGGUCUGGUAAAUCUCUUGUGAAAUUGUUCGGCUUAACCGGACAGCGUGCAGGAGACACUGCCAGACUCGAGACCGGGAGGGGUUAGAAGUAUUCCAUGGGGACUGGUAAAAUGGGAUAAUCCAUGGAAGACUAGCGAUGGCGAAGGCAUCUAACCAGAACGGAUCUGACGGUGAGGAACGAAAGCCAGGGGAGCGCACCGG
This 254-nucleotide ribosomal RNA is filed under the name uncultured bacterium. RNAcentral describes it as "partial 16S ribosomal RNA". It matches the Rfam family "Archaeal small subunit ribosomal RNA", at positions 474 to 727 of the family's 1478-position model. The record is from RNAcentral.